This 255-nucleotide ribosomal RNA is filed under the name uncultured bacterium. RNAcentral's name for it is "partial 16S ribosomal RNA". It matches the Rfam family "Bacterial small subunit ribosomal RNA", at positions 524 to 776 of the family's 1533-position model. The record is from RNAcentral.
GACAGAGCGCGUGAGUGUUAUUCGUUGUGAUUGGGUGUAAAGGGUACGUAGGCAAGGAGCGUCGGUUUAAACCUAAAUCGCGGGGUAUUCCCUUGCGAAGGUAUUUAAAAAAAAGCUCACUAGCAUUGAAGAUGGGUUGGGUUAAUUUUUGGUGUAGGGGUUUUAUCCCACAAUAUCAGAAGGAAUGUCAGCAAGCGGAGGCUCCUUUCUAGCUUCAAUUGUCGCUAAGGUACGGAAGCUUGGGGAUCAAACAGA